GCCUGGAUGGCUCAGUGGUUGAGUGUCUGCCUUUGUCUCAGGUCAUGAUCCCGUCCUGGGAUCGAGUCCCACUUCGGGCU
RNAcentral lists this transfer RNA (80 nucleotides) under Canis lupus familiaris (dog). It matches the Rfam family "tRNA". From Rfam's summary of the family: Transfer RNA (tRNA) molecules are approximately 80 nucleotides in length. Their secondary structure includes four short double-helical elements and three loops (D, anti-codon, and T loops). The record is from Rfam by way of RNAcentral. RNAcentral also lists the same sequence under 1 other name. Lineage: Eukaryota; Metazoa; Chordata; Mammalia; Carnivora; Canidae.